Long non-coding RNA from Girardinichthys multiradiatus, 446 nucleotides. RefSeq lists it as uncharacterized. NCBI's taxonomy places the organism in Eukaryota, Metazoa, Chordata, Actinopteri, Cyprinodontiformes, Goodeidae. The transcript has 3 exons. The record is from RefSeq and is a predicted model, not a curated record.
CCAAAAUAAGUGUCAGAGGUUUAAAAAGUGCAAAUAUCCUUUAAGUAACAAUGUUCUUAUCAUCUGCACCUGUCAGAUAAGUGGUCAGGUGGCCAUGGAAAUCGGCUGGAAUGGAAGUGCUUCUCACCUGUUCGUUGCUCAGACAUUGUUCCUCAUGUUACGAGCUCUGAUCCUUCCUGUGUAUCAGCCAAGCAUCCUCUCCGGUACCGCAAGAAGUCAAUAGUCUGCCGUGUUAACCUCUGGAGAUGUUCCCCUCAACACUGCCCCCUUAAGGGACGACUUUAGGUCGGGAGUAAACACUCUGGCACAAUCUUCAAUCCUGCCAUCACACAUUCCCUGGUAGAAGCAGAGGCAGGGGACACAGAGUUGGACUCUUUCAUCAUCCAGGCUGAAGUCACCGAGGUGGUUAAAAAUCUCCACGGAGGCAGGGCUUCGGGGUUGGAUGA